GAAGUAUUUUAAAUCUAUCUGAACUUUCAAGAGUAUUACGAUGAAACUAAUUGUGAUUUUGAUAGUGAUCUCGCUAGCUUUACUAAAUCAUUCGGCUAAUGGCGAUAUUAAAACAAAAUGCGAUGGUCCUUGGCCUAUUGAUGGAAAGUGCGAAGGAGAAAGUCGUAUGGCGUACACCUACUUACUGAAAGUUUGUUGGGACUUCCCAUAUACGGGUUGUAUUAACAAUACAGAAAACGUAUUUAACUCCCUUGCCGAAUGCGAGAAGACUUGCUAUUAUGGAGUUCCUUAAAUAAAUAUUAAAUACCUUAUAUAUUUUAAAACACAUGUAUAGCUUUAUUUAAAUAAAUUGUAUUUCGUAGAAAA
This is a long non-coding RNA of Drosophila subpulchrella, 366 nucleotides long. RefSeq lists it as uncharacterized. The transcript is spliced from 2 exons. NCBI's taxonomy places the organism in Eukaryota, Metazoa, Arthropoda, Insecta, Diptera, Drosophilidae. The record is from RefSeq and is a predicted model, not a curated record.